Molecule: ribosomal RNA, 406 nt
Filed under: uncultured bacterium
Lineage: Bacteria
Description: partial 16S ribosomal RNA
Rfam family: Bacterial small subunit ribosomal RNA
Source: RNAcentral
AUUGCACGCUGGCGGCAGGCUUAACACAUGCAAGUCGAACGAGUGGCGGACGGGUGAGUAAUGCUUGGGAAUCUAGCUUAUGGAGGGGGAUAACUACGGGAAACUGUAGCUAAUACCGCGUACCAUAGGAUGAGCCCAAGUGGGAUUAGCUAGGAGGUGGGGUAAAGGCUCACCUAGGCGACGAUCUCUAGCUGGUCUGUGAGGAUGAUCAGCCCCACUGGUCCUGAGACACGGCCCAGACUCCUACGUGAGGCAGCAGUGGGGAAUAUUGCACAAUGGGCGCAAGCCUGAUGCAGCCAUGCCGCGUGUAUGAAGAAGGCCUUAGGUUUGUAAAGUACUUUCAGCGGGGAGGCGUUACCCGCAGAAGAAGCACCGGCUAACCCCGUGCCAGCAGCCGCGGUAAUAC